Non-coding RNA from Erythranthe guttata (spotted monkey flower), 1046 nucleotides. The record is from RefSeq and is a predicted model, not a curated record. Lineage: Eukaryota; Viridiplantae; Streptophyta; Magnoliopsida; Lamiales; Phrymaceae.
AGUUUGAGACUCCGUAAACUUCCACCUUGAAUAAUUCCCAGCGAAAUCCCCAAAAAUCCCAUCUCUCACCCUCACGUCCUCAAAUCGGCGUCAUCUCAGGCGCUCACUUGCACAGUAAUUGGUGUUCUUGUGUCGCCUUUUGCGAUAUCGGUGGCCUUGUUGUAACCCAUUCACGUAUGAAUUUAUCAGGUUCUUUAAAAUCCCCAAUUCUCAAACUCGAGAUUUUGGAAGCACGCAAUACUUCUAUAUUUGUACCCAUUUCUCGAAUUUUUGGUGUCAAAUAUGACGUAUUGUAUAGAAUUUGUGGGCUGUGAGGAUAAUUCAAUAUUACUGUUGUUGGACUAAAAUCCAAUGGUGUAUUGAUGUUUUGUCAAAACAUUGGCAGAGCUUGCAGACCUAAUAAAUUUGUGUUAUUAUCUGACUUUAUUUUCCGAGAGGUCUUUUAUAUAAUCCUUUUUCUAGUUUUUGUAUUUAGUAUUUGAGGAAAUUUCUACUACAUAGCCGGCGGUUUCAGUGGGGUUCAACCAAUGCGAGGGUUGAUAAGGCCCAAUUGGUACGGUACACAAACAUGCAGCAAAUGGUACAAUUCUAGCCUUCGACCAUCUUAUCUACUUAAUUUACCGUAAUCUUCUCUUUACUUAAUCAUAUGUACUUUAUUUGUGUGCUUUGAUUAUUAAUUUGUUGUUUGCAACUUGAUUUUAAUUGCAUAUAAAACAGUUUGACUCUUUUCACUGGAGUUUGGGGCUAAGUUCACUUGCAGCAAACUCCAAAGGUUAUUCAGUUGUUGAAUGAUGAGGGAACCACCAACCACUUGAUUUGUCCAACUUUGAACUCUUGAAGACGCCUCACCACAUUUCAUGCUUGACGUAAUCUAGAGUAGCAUUCGCCAAUCCAAGAUUUGUACUUGUUUGGGAUCCAAAGUUACAUAUGUUUGGAACUACAUAGAAUGAUUCGAUAUGUUAUGGUAUUUGAGUAUCAUUGAUUGUAUAUGAAACUGACAUUUGAUUGGUUGAUGAAGUGUAAAUUUGCAGAUGUGGUUUUAUUUA